This 4595-nucleotide long non-coding RNA is filed under the name Phoenix dactylifera (date palm). RNAcentral's name for it is "long non-coding RNA (PDAC_LNC003936)". The record is from RNAcentral. Lineage: Eukaryota; Viridiplantae; Streptophyta; Magnoliopsida; Arecales; Arecaceae.
UCAUUACUUCCAAAUGACAAUAUUAUUCUUUAAAAUUGUACCUUAAUAUAUUUAUUCAAAUAUUUUCAGAAAACUAACCUUUUUCAUAAAUAAUGUGAAGACCAAAUAAUGGCUACAAUUCCUGCUGUAUGGCAAUCUCUACAUAAUAACAGCUGUUGUUCUCUUGCCCAUGAGUGUGAAGAUCAUAAAGUUUGCAACCUUUUUGCAAAUGAGGAUAGCUAAUAAAUAUGCAACGAGAGGCACAAGGAUCAAACUUGAAGGGGUGUUGUGAGUGAGUGGAAGCAAAACACAAACAUCCAAAUACUCGCAGAUGAUGGUAUGUGGGUUUCUUUUUGUAUUAUUUUUCAUAAGGAGGCAACCCUGAUAAAGUGGGAGUAGAGGUUCAAUUGAUCAAAUAAGUGACAGUGAGAAUGGCAUCUCCCCAAAAAAUGUUUGGGCAAAUUGGCUUGAAAAAGCAAAGCCCAAGAAACAUUAAUUAAAUGGCGAUGUUUCCGUUCUAUCACCCCAUUUUGUUGUGGGGUGGAAACACAACUUGUCUGAUGGAUAAUUUUCUUCUUAGAAUAAUAGAGAGGGAUAUCAAACUUAGAGCCAUUAUCACUACGAAUAAUUUUGAUGGUGGUUGAGAAUUGAUUUUCAAUAAGCUGGACAAAAGAUUGGAGAAGGGUUCGAGUCUCAGACUUAUGACGCAUUAAAUAUACCCAUGUGCAUCUAGUGUAGUCAUCCCCAAUGGCGUGGAAAUAAUGAGCCCUAGUGAUAGAAGGAACACGAUACCCAUCCCAAAUGUCAACAUGUAACAAAGUAAAAGGUGCAGCGGUAGAAAUAGAACCAGAUUGAAAUUUAAGAGAGUCUGUUUAGCCAAAGGACAAACAAAAUAUGGUUCUGAAUUGGGAGAACCAAUUUUAGAGACAUUAUUGGAUAAAAAAGACAAGACUUUAUUUGAUGGAUGGCCUAGUCGACGAUGCCAAAGUUGAGAGAAAAAUUUAGCCACUUGACAGCAAGAAUAUCUGGUAUUACUAAAGUAAUAUAGGCCAUACCGCUCAAUUCCUAGUCCAAUCAUCCUCACCGAGCCAAGGUCCCAAAUGGAACAAAAAUCAAAAGAAAAAGUGAUGAGACAAUUAAAGGUUUUACAUAGUGUACUAACUGAAAUCAAAUUGAAAUAAAAUGUUAGUACACAAAGAACAUUUUUAAGAAUAAGAGAGGAUGAAAAUAUAUUGUUCCAAUAUGUGUGACGAAUGCAUGAGAGUCGUUUGGCAAUUGGACCGUACGAUUAUAUACAGGAAUGGAAUGAGUUAAGAGAGUAGGAGAUUGGACCAUAUGGUCAGUAGCUCCACUAUCAAGAAUUCAUAGAUUAUUAUCAGAAGGGACAGAUGAUAUACCUGAGAGAGAAGUUUGAGUGCUACCUACGUGGUUUGCCAUAAACUCUGAACAAGAUUAAUAGAUAACUCAUCCCAUAAACUCUUCAAUCUGGUAAAAUAGGUAGUGAUAGAUAUAAUGCCUUGAACAAGAUUAUGAAUGUCUUGUUCGAGUUGAAACAUGCGAGGGCCAUUAACUUGAGAAAAACAAUCUUUUAGAUCUACCCAAAUCUCACGAGCAUUAUCACAAUAAAGAAUACUUGAUGAAAUCUCUCUUGAAACAGAAUUAAGCAACCAAGACUUUACCAGAUCGUUGCAUCGAACCACUGCUUUGAAUUCGGUCAAUUAUGAACUUGUCGGUUUGGAAAUGGUGCCAUCAAUGAACCCAAGUUUGUUUUUGGCACUGAGAGCUGCAAUAUUGGCACGGCUCCAUGCAUUGUAAUUUUCUUCUGUGAGAGGUUGAGCUACCAAUAACACUUCUGGUUAGUGAGAAUGAUGAAGAGAAAUGUGGUGGUUUGGAUCUUCAAAACUCUGCUUUUCGCUAGCCAUAAGUGCUUUUUUUUUUGGCUUGAGAAAAGGAUGCUGAAGCCACUAAGGUGGUAGCUCAGUGGAACAUGGCGUUGUCUUCUAACCGCAUGGUUCCAAAUUCGAAUCGCCCUGUCGAUUAAAAUGUGGUGACACUACUUGGACAUGAGGUCUAGGAGCACUUACUGGUCCGCUGGUAGCUUUGGUGGUGCCAGGUAUGACGUACUCACCCUUGGAUGGAGAGGGUAUGAGUAAAACUUAUCUGGCCGCAUCGAACAUUCUCCUAUCGGAGGCGAGGGCUCCAAUAGGGGCUACUACACGGAGGUGGGCUUAUCCCUUCCUCCCUCCUACCCUUUUCUUUGAUGCUGAAAAAAAUCUAGUGCGGUGGAGGCGAUGAUAUGGUGCGGCAGGAGGCGAAUGAAGAGCACGGAUCAGCGACGUGGCGCGGUUCUACGCGUCGAUGAGUUGAGAGUCAAAGGCGCGGAUCGAGUGCGGCGCAAGCGCAGCAUGAGCUUGGGUCUGACUCGUGCGGCAGGCCUGAACCUGACUCUCAGGUUGUGGGUGGACCAAAGAAAUAGGCCUCCAGGUGUUUGACAAAAUAUCUCAACUGUAGACAAAUACCAAAAACACGCCUACAAAAGCACAACCAUCAGUAGCAACCAAAACCGGUGAACCACAUGGCCUAACCGAAAAAAGAAAACUCGUUUUCGCCAAAUCUAAACCACACGAUAAGCUCUGUUUUUCAAGAGCUUAAACAGAAGAUCGGCGGAAAAGAAAAAAAAUGGGCAUCUAGAAUUGUUUCUACGCUCUGAUACCAUGAUAAAAUUAGAGUUAGAUAACAAACGGAAGCAUAAAGAGAAAGUGAAGGAGAGACCGUAUUGAGAAUAAAUUUCUGUGCGUGUUGUCGUCCUACAUGGUCCUAUUUAUGCACAUAAUUGGGGAAUAAAUUGCAAGAUUACAGGAAGCAAAUAAAGUAGGAAGCAUUUAGUCCCACAUCGACCGUUCAGCGGAAAGGUCUGUGCCUUAAAUGGGGGCCUCAAUAACCUCUUCUCACCGAGGCGCCUUUUGGAGACAAAACCGUGAGGGACGCCCAAGCCCCCUGUGCGAGCUCCGUGCCCACAGGUGGGUGCGCACCCCGUGCGAGCUCCGCGCCCACGGGGCCCAGAGCGGACAAUACCUCGGUGGGAACGCAUUUGCUUUCCCUACUCGGCUCGGUUUGGGACUAUGCUGUUGUCGGGGUGAAAAUCCCGCAACACUAGCCAUUGUCCUUUGACCCAAUGAUCUUGCCAAACUCUUCGGGUCCAUUAAUGUCGUGAUGGGAGGACCCAAAUUCUUGGUGUCCUUCCUUAACACCCUGAAGUAGACUUCCAAAUCCCUGUACCAUAGGGCAAGAAGCUUAAAUUAGAUCAAAAUAGAAUGGUCCUACGUACUCAGCACCCACUGAAACUAAGAGUACCAAAAGUGAACCGGUUUCUCAAGUAGCCGCUGCCUUUUUAUAUAUAUAAGAACCCAUACUGAGCUCUCACCAUUCAAUAACAGCACCAUUAUUUCCGUGAAACAGCUCCAUGGAGUUGCCCAAACUAACUAAUGCAGCUUCCAUCCUCAGUAUCUUUUGAAAUAGAAUAAUGGCUGGUAAAAUGAUUACUAACUUACUAUAAGGCCCUCCGAAAGAUAAAUUCAUUACUUCCAAAUGACAAUAUUAUUCUUUAAAAUUGUACCUUAAUAUAUUUAUUCAAAUAAUUUCAGAAAACUAACCAUUUUAAUAAAUAAUGUGAAAACCAAAUAAUGGCUACCAUUCCUGCUAUUGGGGGAAAAAUGGACCACCCCACAAGUACAAUUAAAGCACCCAAAUCUGACAGCAAGCCUGAGCUCAUCAUGCAGGCCGAGCCGAGCUCCGAAGGCCGAGCUUAUGCAGGCCGAGCCGAGCUCAGAAGGCCGAGCUCGUCAUCCACAUGCUGCAGCCACGACCUGCAGCAGUCUCAUCCAGGCCAAGCUCAUGCAGGCCGAGCCGAGCUCAGAAGGCCGAGCUCCGAAGGCCGAGACCAGAAGGCUGUGGAGCUCAUUCAGGCCGAGCUCAUGCAGGCUGCCGAGCUCCAAAAGCUGCCGAGCUCCGAAGGCCGAGACCAAAAGGUUGCCAAGCUCAGAAAGCUGCCGAGCUUAGAAAUCUGCCGAGCUCAGAAGGCCGAGCACAGAAGGCCGGGACCAAAAGGCCGAGACCAGAAGGCUGCCAAGCUCAGAAAACUGCCGAGCUCAUCCAGGUUGAGCUCAGAAGGCCGAGCUGACCUCAGAAGGCCGACCUCGUCGUCCACAUGCUGCGGCCAUGCCCUGUAGCAGCCUCAUCGCACCAUGCUUUACUUGCCGGCCACGCCACGACAUAUCAACCAAUGACCAUACCCUGCUACGACUGUCAAUGCCUCACCAUUCCCAAGAAUGGACUGCACUGCGCCACAAGCAAGCUUUGGCUGCACGCCAUCUCCUCCCAUGAUGGGAACGGGCCAUCCACGGCAACUCAUUACUUCCACGCCCACGUCGAAUCGUGACGGUAACCCAUUAAUUCGCCCAGUCACAUCACAGGUAACCCUGGCACUCUCCCUAUAAAAGGAGAGCUUCUCCCUCUAAAGAGGGGUUUUCUUCCUCCCAAGGGAGGGUUUGGGACUUUUACUUACAGUCGAUCUCCUUUUCCAAAAUUAAGCCCCCCUCUGACUUAAUCAUCGGAGG